Xyrauchen texanus (razorback sucker) is the source of this 2845-nucleotide long non-coding RNA. RefSeq lists it as uncharacterized. The record is from RefSeq and is a predicted model, not a curated record. The transcript has 2 exons. Lineage: Eukaryota; Metazoa; Chordata; Actinopteri; Cypriniformes; Catostomidae.
GGGUGCUUUCACAGAGUAUUUACUCGCCAUUUGAUCUCAUCUUCUCCGAACUUGGUUCUGUUGUAGUAUGUGACUGUCUAUUCGCCUUAUUCACCUGGCGGCCAUUUUGAAAACUCGAACGCCGUUGAGAGGUACACAAACCCGGAAGUUUGACUCCGACGCAGCAGCACCAGCAAUGGAAACUCCAGUGUGGACCACCAAUCUUUCCUGUCUGCCCGAAUUAACAGAACAAAAUGUGGAGCAGUUGGCCAGUACCGACUGCAACAUCCCCCGGGCUGUGUUAAUUAAGGGAUACAGUAACUGGAUCGAAGGAUUUAUCCACGACAUUGAAGGUGGAGCUGUCACUUGAGCAGCUAUUUAUAAGGGAGACGCAGUGCAACUGCAAAGCUGGCUUGGGACAGUGCAACCAUCUCAUCGGGCUGCUCUACACUCUCGCUCACUUUACCAAGAUGGGCUACACAUCUGUCCCCCAACAACGAGCAAGACGUCACUGCCUCAAGCCUGGCACGUUCCAUCGAGGGCCCUGGGUGUCAGUCCAAGAACGGUGAGCUCUGUGAGUGUCUCAAAGCUAAAACCACCAGUGACCAACGCACAUCCGCCAAAGAGGCAACGCUCGUCUGAAGGGGUGAUGUCAAACCUGUACUGUCCUGUGCCACUCCCGCUUCCAUCAAAUGCCUUUACAGAGAGCCUACACCGAAACCUGAGUCAAAUAGAAAGCAAGAGUCAGAUGUUCAAGCUGCUGGAGAACAGAAAACAGCCUGCUGCUCUUGUCUCUACUGACUUUGGAGACCUUCCAAAGGGAUCUGUGCUUACCUACCACGCAACACAGUCUUCCAGGGUUAAUGAUGAUCCCCUGUUUCCCUUACCAUCACAGCCAUGCUCAUUUUACACUGUCCUGGAUGACACUGAGUCGUGCUACUAUAGUGGCCUGGUGGUCACUCAGGCUGUUGCAAUACAGCUGGAGAUAGAGACAAGGGAACAGAGCCAUAGCAAGACCUGGCAUAAAGUUCGAGCCAACGUCUUACCUCCUCUUCCUUCAAGAGGAUUUGUUCAAGGGUGGCAGACUACAACAUAUUAGCUGCCAAUUUGAAAAAGAAAAUAGUGCAGACUAAGGUGAUGAAGAGAGGCUUGGAACUGGAGCCUGUUGCUGCGGCCGAAUAUCAAGACCUCACUGGCUAUGAGAUCUUCCCCUGUGGGUUCGUCAUCAACCACCACGCCCCACACCUAGGUGCCUCACCUGACCGAAAAGUGAUUGACCCCAGUGCCUCACCAACGCACGGCCUCCUGGCGAUCAAGUGCCCCAACAAAGGGAGCGUGAGAGAUUGCAAGUACUUGCGUUGCAAGGCUGAUGGUAGCCUAGCCUGAAGACCACACAUGAAUACUAUUUUCAAGUGAUGGGGCAGAUGGGCAUCACUGGGUUGAAGUGGUGUGACUUUUUUUGUGAAGUGCAGUGAUGACCAUCACUUGGAGCGGGUGCACUUCCAACCAAAGGAGUGGGAGAACCAGGGUUUCCGUUGUCCGUAAUUACCGGACAUUGGCCGGUAAAAAAAUUAAAUGUCCGACAGAAUUAAAUCUCUCCGGUCAAAUUGUCCGAUUAAAAUUGCCUAAUAAUCCCGUCCCCCUAACACAAUCUGAAUUUGAGAAUAAGCCUAAAAUGUAUAAAGCAAAAAUACACCGAUCUCUUGCUAUGUUAUAAAGGAACAGGCUCUAUCGUUUGAAAGUUAUGAAACAACAUCGCAUGCUGCAUUUCAAAUAAAGCGCACGCCUAAAACGGCUGCAAUAUCUAAACAACGAACGAUUGAGUGAGACGUUUCAAAUAUGGCCAGGCCCAGGCAGACUAGCUUUAAAAGCUUUUUUCAGAGGCCAGACGAUGGUGAAUCAGGAACAUCUCAUUAUAGAUAGAUCAGCGCUUCUAAUCCGCGCAUUCGUGCAGUUUUUUUUCUCUAUCAUCAAAACUGAAUAGCCUAUGUUCAUCAGUGCAUGGUUACAGUCUAUAUCAAUCAGGGACACGUUUGUGUGCAUUUUAUUUUGUGAUUUCACCGGAAUUAAUAGAGAGUCUCCGCAAAGGCGAUAGAUUGAAACGCGCGUCCUAGUGAAGAUUGCGCAACUCGCGCAGCGCGUCGUCCAUGCAACUGAUAGCAGCGGACACGAGCGCUCAGCUUGAUUUCAAAAACAACAGAUUUUAGCGCUAGAUCUCUUAUUUAAUAACGGACUAAAUGAAUGAUCUGCUAGUUAACUGGAGAUGUUUUAUUUAUUUGUAUUAGGUACAUCCGUGCCUCAAUGUUUCAAAAAGUGAAUGUGUGUGAAACCACAGUAAAAAAGUUUUUUUUCACAGUUUUUCCGUCUAUUUGAAAGUUAAGCUAAUAAUAAUAUGUUGCAUUCUAUACGGCCUGAUUAUGUCAUUUUUUAAGUUACAUAGACUGCCUCCAAUUUUCCUCAACUUGACUAAUUAAGAGGCGAUAUAUUUGACCGGCAUAUCAUCAAAAUGUCCGUAAAACGAAACCUCUGACCGGCACCAUUUUUUUCUAGCGGAAACUCUGGGGAGAACAUAAAAUGUAAAUUGGACACAUUCUUUUUCUCUCACUUUCUGCCUUCCUUGUGUAACAAAAUCAUGUAAUACAUCACUGAUAAUCUGUUUAUAUAUAUAGUUCUUUUGUUAAUGUUUUUAAAUGGUUUGUUUCUAAUGUUCUGACCUGUUCCGGUUCCUUUUCCAUACUUCUAUGUACAUGGUUACCUUUACAAACCUAGACCAUUGUGCCUAUGUCAAUGUUUGUUUUAAUGUUUUCUGAUAUUCCGACCUGUUCUGGUUCCGGUAUAUUAAAUUAUAAAGUUAUGAAGGACAUCA